RNAcentral lists this long non-coding RNA (2158 nucleotides) under Homo sapiens (human). RNAcentral describes it as "non-protein coding LINC02384:27". The record is from RNAcentral. Lineage: Eukaryota; Metazoa; Chordata; Mammalia; Primates; Hominidae.
AGUUUCUUUGCCUAACUCUGAGUUGCUUGAGUCACAUUUUUGCAUGGUUCUUGAUUGACUUUCUGGUGCUCUGCCUGGAGGUCUUUGCUUAUCUGUGAGUUGCCUGAGUCACAUUUUUACAUGGUUCUGGUGCUCUGCCUGCAGGUCAAGAAGGAGCCAGUAUCUCCAGGAGGAGUGAGAGAGUGCUCUGCCAGUGUGAAGUGUGAAUCCUUGAGAGGCUGUGGCAAGGGUCCAUGCCUGAAUGUGUAGAACAAGAACAGCUGGAGGCUGUGGCUUUCUCCAGGAAGAGGUUUCUAAAUCUGCCUCUUAGAAGAUAUCAGAAAGUUAAAGAUAAGAAAAUAGAGGCCUACAGAUUUCUGUAUUGUCCUUUAUCUACAUUGGGACCUGUACUUCCCUGUUUAGAAGCUCCUCUCUUCAGCUCUCUAUAUAUUAAAAUCCUAACCACCAAGGACUUAUAUAAAGAGAUUGAGUGGAUGUGUUAAAAGGGUAAAGCAGCUACGGCUUAGAAAGGCUGAGGAACUUGCCUGAGGCUAUCCAGCUACUGAGAGAUAAACUGGGGUGUGAAUUCAGAGAGCUUGACUCCUGAGGCUCCACCUGUGCCUAUAAUUCCAGCAUGACACCUGGUAAUGGGCACUCAGUAUAUGCUUGUUGAUCUAAACUCAGUGUGUGUGUGUGUGUCUGUGUGUGUCUGUGUGUGUGUGUGUGUGUGUGUGUGUGUGUGUGGUCUUCCUCUCACAUCCAAAGCUACUAGCACUGAGGAAGUUGGGCAUGGUGUAGGAAAGAGAAAUCUUUGCUGUUAAAUCUCAUUUCCAGCAUAACUGUCAAUGGAGAGGUGGCAUGGAAGGGACAACCAGUUCGUGUACCAAAUUACUCUCAGCUUGCUUGUUGUCUUAGGCAUAUGUUCUGGGAGUGGCCAACACCUGUUUUACAUCUGUGUUAGUCUUUGCGGAAUAAAAAGCAAAUUAGGGUUUAAUGGGGACUAUUAAUCUUGUCACCUAAUUGAGUAGAUCUAAUAAAUCUUUUCAUUCAAAACCCAAUGGGAAUUUCUAGUUGGAAAUGAGUGUGGGGAAUAUUCAAUCUCAAAAAUAUUUUCAUACACAAAGAUUAUAUAUGAGUUUGUGAAAGAUGUUGAAUAUUCAAUGAAAUUUAAUGAGUAUGAAUUGAACACUUAUCCUGGGCCUAGAACUGUUGGCAGUUGCUUUUGAGAGUUACAGAGUACAUUUAUGGUAAUUACUGCACUUACGAAUUUUGCUAUGUGGUUUGGGAGUAUCUGAAGUAUCUUAUAGUAGGUCUCUAAACUGGUAAUAAUAAAAAGUUCAAAUAUAUUAUUUUGUUACACUCCACGAGGAUCAAACUUCAUCAUGACAUGAUUAUAAUUUGAAAUAUGAGUAAGAAAUACGUAGGGUCAUGAUCUCUAUAAGCCCAUUCUUUGCUUCUUAAUUAAAUUUUGCAGCUGAUAGAAACAUUGAAAGCAGAGCAUUAGCUUAUAAAUAAUUCAGAAAAUGGUUGGUAACUCCCAUAGUAUAUGUUUUAUGAGUUUUGUUUAAGAAGAGUCUAUUUCGUGUUAGGUAAAGUUGGCCAUUGUUUAGAAUAAAGACCUGCAUUACUUUCUAUUCUAAAUUAAACUGUUAAUGGGAGUGCUUGCAAAGGCCUUGGUGCUUUUUUUUCUGUUUAAUAGGAGCAACAUCACUUUGGAUCAAUUAUUUAAUUUCCUUAUGUCAGAGUUCUUUCAAUUUAAAGGAAAAUAUUUCCUUUCCUCAUUCCUUUUUCUCUGAGGAUGAACCAGACAUUGGAAGUUGUAGCCUGGGAUUGUACUGGAGCUCUCACUGUGGUUGCAUUCUUUCUUCACAUUCAGCGUCCUCCUUAAAGCACACAUUUUCACGUACAUCUAUUAAAUUACCUGGGAGAGAGUUCUAGACACUAUCAGUCAGUAAAUCCAGUUGUCUCAUUUUUCAGUUUUAGCUAUUGUUGCGGUCAUAUGCCAAGGCUUGUAUGAAUGAAGGGUCUAUAAAAAUAUCUGCUGUGGUGUGAUUUUUUUUAUCCUUGUAUGAGACCAUAGCAUGAGACAGUAGACUGGCAAAUUGGCAGGGCGAGGAGAGUGUUUGUGCUUACACGGGGCAAUGAAAAGAGUUUUGAUUCUUCUUUAGCUAAAUGUUAU